RNAcentral lists this ribosomal RNA (410 nucleotides) under uncultured bacterium. Its description in RNAcentral is "bacterial SSU rRNA". It matches the Rfam family "Bacterial small subunit ribosomal RNA", at positions 29 to 484 of the family's 1533-position model. The record is from RNAcentral.
AACGAACGCUGGCGGCAUGCCUAACACAUGCAAGUCGAACGAAGUCUUCGGACUUAGUGGCGCACGGGUGCGUAACGCGUGGGAAUCUGCCCUUGGGUGCGGAAUAACUUCUCGAAAGGGAUGCUAAUACCGCAUAAUGUCGUAAGACCAAAGAUUUAUCGCCCAAGGAUGAGCCCGCGUAAGAUUAGCUAGUUGGUGGGGUAAAAGCCUACCAAGGCGACGAUCUUUAGCUGGUCUGAGAGGAUGAUCAGCCACACUGGGACUGAGACACGGCCCAGACUCCUACGGGAGGCAACAGUGGGGAAUAUUGGACAAUGGGCGAAAGCCUGAUCCAGCAAUGCCGCGUGAGUGAUGAAGGCCCUAGGGUUGUAAAGCUCUUUUACCAGGGAUGAUAAUGACAGUACCUGGAG